UACGUAGGGUGCAAGCGUUAAUCGGAAUUACUGGGCGUAAAGCGUGCGCAGGCGGUUAUGUAAGACAGGUGUGAAAUCCCCGGGCUUAACCUGGGAACUGCAUUUGUGACUGCAUAGCUAGAGUGCGGCAGAGGGGGAUGGAAUUCCGCGUGUAGCAGUGAAAUGCGUAGAUAUGCGGAGGAACACCGAUGGCGAAGGCAAUCCCCUGGGCCUGCACUGACGCUCAUGCACGAAAGCGUGGGGAGCAAACAGG
Molecule: ribosomal RNA, 253 nt
Filed under: uncultured bacterium
Lineage: Bacteria
Description: partial 16S ribosomal RNA
Rfam family: Bacterial small subunit ribosomal RNA
Source: RNAcentral